This 285-nucleotide long non-coding RNA is filed under the name Gossypium barbadense (sea-island cotton). RNAcentral describes it as "long non-coding RNA (GBAR_LNC001385)". Lineage: Eukaryota; Viridiplantae; Streptophyta; Magnoliopsida; Malvales; Malvaceae. The record is from RNAcentral.
GGAAACAAAAAGCCUAAAAAUUUGAUGUUGGUCCUAUCACUUGCUCAAAACGCAAAAAGGAGGUUCAAUUAAAACAUGAUUAAGAUUUUGUUAAGGUAACACCUUGAAUUUUUCGACAUUUUGGUUAAAAAACAUUAGGAAAAAGUUUCAAGGCAGAUAUGUGUUGGUGAACGCAACAUUCUAACAAAUAACUACUUACAAUGAAUAUUACUUUUAUCCACCAUCAGCUCUGGUACCAAUUAUAACGAGAUACGGGAUACAGUAGAUAAUAUUACAAAUUUACAA